GGGGGAUAUUGCACAAUGGAGGAAACUCUGAUGCAGCAACGCCGCGUGAGGGAAGAAGGUCUUCGGAUUGUAAACCUCUGUCCUCGGUGACGAUAAUGACGGUAGCCGAGGAGGAAGCUCCGGCUAACUACGUGCCAGCAGCCGCGGUAAUACGUAGGGAGCAAGCGUUGUCCGGAUUUACUGGGUGUAAAGGGUGCGUAGGUGGCUCUGCAAGUCAGGUGUGAAAACUAUGGGCUUAACUCAUAGAUUGCACUUGAAACUGUGGAGCUUGAGUGAAGUAGAGGCAGGCGGAAUUCCCGGUGUAGCGGUGAAAUGCGUAGAGAUCGGGAGGAACACCAGUGGCGAAGGCGGCCUACUGGGCUUUAACUGACGCUGAAGCACGAAAGCAUGGGUAGCAAAC
RNAcentral lists this ribosomal RNA (400 nucleotides) under uncultured bacterium. RNAcentral describes it as "bacterial SSU rRNA". It matches the Rfam family "Bacterial small subunit ribosomal RNA", at positions 356 to 773 of the family's 1533-position model. The record is from RNAcentral.